UGACCAAUGAUGAUAUUGGAUUUAUUUUCUCACGACGGUCAUCUGAUACAUGAAGAUGAUACAGAUCAUUCUUAUCUGAGGGCU
Nymphaea colorata (pocket water lily) is the source of this 84-nucleotide small nucleolar RNA. RefSeq annotates it as small nucleolar RNA Z161/Z228. The record is from RefSeq and is a predicted model, not a curated record. The transcript has a single exon. NCBI's taxonomy places the organism in Eukaryota, Viridiplantae, Streptophyta, Magnoliopsida, Nymphaeales, Nymphaeaceae.